AUGCUUGCUUCAGCAACACAUAUACUAAGAUUGGAAUGAUUCACAGAAAGUCAGCAUGGCCCCUGUGGAAGGAUGACAUGACAAUUUAUGAAGCGUUCCAUAUGUUU
Molecule: small nuclear RNA, 107 nt
Organism: Peromyscus maniculatus bairdii (prairie deer mouse)
Lineage: Eukaryota; Metazoa; Chordata; Mammalia; Rodentia; Cricetidae
Source: Ensembl